Molecule: RNA transcript, 4929 nt
Organism: Zingiber officinale
Lineage: Eukaryota; Viridiplantae; Streptophyta; Magnoliopsida; Zingiberales; Zingiberaceae
Gene name: lysine-specific histone demethylase 1 homolog 1-like
Exons: 3
Source: RefSeq, a predicted model, not a curated record
GUACCCAAUUCCAGGGUUUGGCAGCGAAGGGUAGAAACAACCAUGGCGGAGGAGAAAGUGGUUCCCUCUUCUCAUGAUGUAUCUCCGGGUGUUCCUCCUCCUCUUCCUCCUCUUCCUCCUCUCCCUGCUUCUGAUCUCGAUACUAAGGCCGUUAUUCUCGUCUCUCCCCUCGCCGCCCUUCCCCCGCCUUCGUCCUCCGCCGAUGUCCACCCUCCUACAUCUUCUCCCGCUGUGGGUUCCUUAUCCGGCCGGAAGCGCCGCCGCCGCAAGAAGCAGUUCCCGGAGAUGGUCCCCACCGCUCGGCUCCGCACCCUCCGUCCCCCCUCCACUCGCUCCUCAUCCGUGAUCUACAGCGAGAAGCUCAUCGACGAGAUGAUUCAGAUGCAGAUCAACGACUCCGGCCCCGUCCGGCGAGGCCGCGGCCGCCCACCGUCGUCCUCCCUCCGCCUUGCGCGCGAGCUCGAUGUCGAGGCGCUGACUGCCAGUGCGGUCGGUUUCCCUGUCGAUUCCCUCACCGAAGAGGAGAUCGAGGCAAAUGUGGUUCCUGUUCUUGGAGGGGCUUCGCAGGCUAACUACAUCGUCGUCCGCAACCACAUCAUCGCCAGGUGGCGAUCGAAUCCCUCGAUGUGGAUCACGGAGGCUCACUCCAUGGAGGCGAUUCGAUCAGAGCACCGAGUGCUCGUCUCUGCCGCCUACAGUUUCUUGUUAGAACAUGGCUUCAUCAACUUCGGCCUGGCCCCCUCUAUCAUCGCUGCCCCUCCAAAGCGCCUGCCAACCCUUCCCGCACCCUCCGUCCUGAUAGUUGGCGCUGGCCUCGCUGGCUUGGGAGCCGCUCGCCACCUGCUUUCAUUCGGCUUCAAGGUCGCUAUCUUUGAGGGCCGCCGUCGCCCGGGGGGACGUGUCUACACCAAAAAGAUGGAAUCUUCCUCCACCACGCCGGCUGUCGUUGCAGCUGCUGAUCUCGGUGGCAGCGUGCUCACUGGCAUCAACGGCAAUCCUUUCGGUGUUCUUGCUCGUCAGCUUGGCUUCCCACUCCACAAGAUUCGCGACUUGUGUCCUCUGUACCUCCCUGAUGGCCGACCAGUGGACACUGACAUCGACAAGAGCCUUGAAAAAGCAUUCAACCAGCUUCUUGAAAAGGUGUGCAAGUUCCGGCAUGCCAUUAUUGAUGAGCUCAAGUGCAUGGAUGCCUCCCUUGGGACUGCCCUAGAGUCCUUUCGCAAAGCUUAUGGUAUUGCUGAUUCUUUGGAGGAAAGGAUGUUACUUGAUUGGCACCUUGCCAACCUCGAGUAUGCCAAUGCCGCCCCACUCUCAGACCUCUCCAUGGACCACUGGGACCAAGAUGACCCCUAUGAGAUGGGCGGUGAUCACUGUUUCAUUCCUGGUGGCAAUGGGCGCUUCAUUCGAGCUCUUGCAGAGGGCAUUCCUAUCUUCUAUGGAAGGACAGUCAACCGAAUCCAGUAUGGAUGUGAUGGGGUGAUGGUGUAUGCUGGUGGGCAAAUUUUUCGUGGUGACAUGGCAUUAUGUACUGUUCCCUUGGGGGUUCUCAAGAAGGAAUGCAUUGAGUUUGUGCCUGAACUACCACAAGAGAAGCAAGAUGCUAUCAAAAGACUGGGUUUUGGAUUACUUAAUAAGGUUUUAAUGUUGUUUCCCCAUGUUUUUUGGGAUGGUGAGCUUGAUACUUUUGGGCACUUAACAGAGGAUUCAAGUAAUCGUGGUGAAUUCUUUCUGUUCUAUAGUUAUUCCUCAGUUGCAGGAGGACCACUUCUCGUUGCCCUUGUUGCAGGGGAGGCUGCUACUAAAUUUGAGAGAACAUCUGCGCAGGAAAAUGUUGAGAGGGUAUUGGAAGUUAUUAGGGAAAUUUUUUUGCCCAAGGGGAUCAAGGUCCCAAAGCCUCUUCAGGUGAUAUGCACUAGAUGGGGUUCGGAUAAGUUUACUUAUGGAUCAUAUUCUUAUGUUGCUAUUGGAUCUUCUGGGGAUGAUUAUGACAUUUUGGCCGAGAGUGUGGGCAAUGGAAGGGUAUUCUUUGCUGGUGAGGCAACCAAUAGGAGGUAUCCCGCUACCAUGCAUGGAGCUUUGCUUAGUGGUUUCAGGGAAGCAGCUAAUAUAGCUAGGGCUGCUAGGAAGCGGUCAAUAUUUCCAGUCAUGAAUGUAGUGGAUGUGAAAGAAGAUAUGUCAAAUUUGGACAAUUUCUUUCAAACACCGGACCUCUCUUUUGAGCAAUGAAGAAGCCAGAAAUGUUACCAUUUUCUUUUGCUUACCAUGGGGAGUUGCAAGUGAUGCCAGCUACUACCCUAUAUGGUAAGAGUAACCUUUUAGUCUUUGCCCUAUAGAGGUGAGGUAAUGACAGAAGUGCCUACACAUUUUACUUAUUUGUUUCAAUGAGUAUUAGCUUCAUGCAGUAACUCUUAGGAAGGAUGCUAGAAAUUGCAACUUGAUGGCAUGUAUCAUCUUUCUUCUUUCAAUAGACAUUAAAAUCGGAUGGUUGGGUUGUCAGUGUCUCAUCUAUACCAUUUAAGUUUACUAGAAAUUUACUGCCAUCAGUUUAUAGAAGAUUCUGAAGAAGCUUUCAAAUUUUGGUGGUUCCUAAAUUGCUAAGGUUUGUUUGCAUAUUACUGUAUCCUCCUCAGUCCUUAAAAUUUCGUUCAUUCUGCUAUAAUAAAAUUAAAUAAUUUAUAUUUGCAAAUUGUAAACACCAUUUUUUUUCAUGGCAAAUGUUGUCUUGUGCUAUGACUAUGCUUUGUUUAGUAAUAAAAGCAAAUCUCUCAUUUUUGUUUAGUCAUGUGUAGCAAUUUGUGCACUGAAGCUGCAACUUCUCCUGUUGUCAUCUUUGUUAGACUGAUGUGACAACUAGAGGGGGAGGGGGUGAAUAGCCAUAAACCAGAAAUUGACAAACUUAAAUUUUGAUAUUAAGGUUAGCUGCACAACAGAAAUAAGAAUGCAACAAUAAGAACAACAAUGCUAAUUUUAAGAAAGUACGUGGUUUGGAAUUGCCAAGAUCUUACUUUGAUUUGUAAGGUAAGGCAAUCCUCAAAUCCCACUAUCUUUUUUCCUUCCGGAGGUAGAGAAAUCUCUUUCAAAACUCCAUUACAUAUAAAUAACUCACAUUCUUUGUUGUUAUUAUUGGAUCUCAACCAUGUCAUAGUCUCGCAACAUUGUUACCAUUAUGGUCGCUACCAUGCCUUCUUAUUGCAUUCUCGAUCCAUGACUACUUGACCCAAAUAUUGUCUUAGCUAAGGUUACUAUCCUUCUUUUGUAGCAAAAGAUGAUUACGCUCACCUCAAGUGCCCCUCAGAGACGUGUCCCAGGCUAUGUGAAGGGAGGUAAAUCACAUAGUCUACUUAUAGACGACCGCCAAGUGGCUAAGGGGUGAGAGAAGUUUUUUGCCAAGGACAUGCACUCGAUGAGAAUUGAUCCUUGUCCCAUUGUAGCAAAUCUGCCCCAUUAUAGUUGAUCGUCAAGUAGCUAGGGGUUACUAUCCUUCUUUCUCUGUACACAUAGUGCCUUUGUCACUAUUGUUGAUUGCUCUAAUUGCUAUCAAAAUGUCUUCAAGUAUGUGUGCCCUUGUAGGUUUGUGCAACAUUAAACUCAUUAUUGCUUGUCCUUGUUCUUCAUCUAUGCUUGGCUAUUAUGUAUUAUAUUUGUAAUUUUCUCUUUAACAUUACUAUCGUUCCCUUGCCAUAAGUGGUCACCAGAGCAAUAAUUUUGACAUGACAACACAUGAGGGCCGCAUGAAAGUUUCCUCACUUCCUAAGUGAGAAUCAACUAUACCUUAAAAGAACUACAUACAAGUAUAUAUUUUCCCAUGACUAGAAACUUGUGAAGUUAUAGAAAAAAGUCAUAAAGAAAAUUUACUUUCAGAAUCAACUAUAAGUUCUUACCCUACUAGUAACAAAAAAUAGGAGACAAGCACAAAGAGAAAUUGCCAAAACUUGAAAUUCUCAACCCACCAAAACCUAAAAACCACAUAGGGUUGGAGCAGCUAUAGGAUGAUCAGUAUGGAAAACUAAAUUUCAUAGAAAUCUACAUCAUGGAGAUGAUAGUUUAAGAUUCAUAGAAAUCAAAGAGAAAGAACAUGUAUUAUUAAGGUGAUAGUUUAGGAUUUUUCAUAGAAAUUAAGAGGGAGCAUAUUUAUCAUGAAGAUGAUAGUUGAAGUUAGAAUUUUAUAUAUAUACUUUUUAAAGUGCCUAGAUUAACAUCUAACUAGAUUGUAACCUGUGUGAUGCACUCUAGGUGGUGUGUCAAUGGAUUGGACAAACAUAUUUUACUCAAGUAGACGAAAUGUAUGUUUGAACAUUAUAAAUGUCAUUCAUCGCUUUUGCAUUAUCUUAGAUCAUAAUUUACAUCCUACAGAGACAUAUACACUGCUACUCCAGCUUCAAUGAUAUCAGCCAGUCAAUCAUAGACAUGGUGCCAGGUGAAAUGCAAGUUUCAUUCUCAAGAUUUCAAAACUUCUUUACUUGUUUCUCCCAAGUAUUCACCAUACUGAGCUUGCUUUUCGUUAAAUGGUUGUUGACUAUUGUAGUAUUCUUGUUUUCGAGAUUACAAAGUGGUUUGCAUUCCAAACAAUCGUUUUAACUCAUAAGAUCCUUUGUUCUAACUGGUAAAAUGACUGCUGCCAGGGACGCCAAUUCAUCUGUGAUGCACAUGAUGGCUAUAUUAUCUUUGUUCCAAACCAGAUGCUUUCCUUUUCCUCAUAAAUCCGGAGUGGUUUAUCAAAACUAUAGAUGGUUUUCUUCUCUAAUCACAUUGAUGUAUGAGAUCUUUAGCUUGUCAAGUUCUUUCAUAGGUUACUUCAAGUGUUUUAUCUCGCACUGGUGGGAUUUUCAUGUAUGGGGCUGCUUUUAUUAUCAUUUAUACUAGUGAAAUUAAUGGCUAAUUAUUUACAAAUGUGGAAGAAGGAGAAGGCAAUACAAAGUUGGGUCUAAA